CUCUAGGCCAUUACUGGGACUCACUGGCCCAGUCUCUCCAGGAUCCAGGAUGGCCCUUGUCCUUGCUUAACUCCCUCUCCUCUCUGCAGGCCCCUGCGUUCCUAAUCUGGUCCUUGCCUGAUCCUCCCCCAUCCCCAGGGGAGCUGGUCAGCGUCGACUUCUUACGCCCUCUUUUGCUCUGGCUCUGGUGACCCAUCGGGAACACUACAACAACACAGAGCCCGUUUCCAGUGUGGGGUCUGUCUACGCAGCCAGGUUUGUGCCUCACUACAGCUGGUGUUCCCCUCCAGAAGCUAUACCUCACGCAGAGCGGGGAACCUUCAAAGCAGCCAUGCCUUCCUGGUUGCUCCCUUGCAUCCUGAUCCAGUCUGAUGGUGUUUUUGCAAUUUUCCUGUCAGCUUGGUGGGAGAAGUUCAAAGAGACUCUGUCUUCCUUUCUGGCUUCCUUUCCAGACAGAGAAGCUUUCUCUCGGCUGCUCCCCUGCUCCACCUCUCUCGAGGAAAUUGAUGUCUUUCCUCCUCCCUCCCCCCACCAAGAAAAGUCUGUUCGUGAGGAUUAUCCUAAGAGCAGGUGGGGGGAACAUCUGAAGUACAAGGCAGGUCAGAAGUCAGCCGACCCUGGCUGUGGGAUCUCUUCCCCAACGCCCUGGGUGAAGUUAGAUUCUCAGUGGCUUUUUGGAAGGCGAAGCUCAGAAAGAGAGGGACUAGAGGAACAUUAGUAUCUCUCAUUAGAACACCUGCAGUCACCAAUUCUGAAAGAAGGUGAUGGAUUGUUCACAACUUGCUUCUGGGCAACACUUCCUAGGAGCCGGUGACAAAGCGGAAUUUGCUGCACCUGCUACCUUCCUGUGGAUGAAGCUUAGCGGCUGAGGCUAUUCCUUAUUGGAUCCCAGGGCUCUCAGAAGAGGCCUUUGAGCUGAGAAUGUGCGGCAGUCACUUCUGGCCCAGAUCGGGAGUUUUCCAGUUCUCCCAAGGCGUUAGGGUCGCCCAGCACUGUACUUGGUCAAUUCUAACUGCCCCAGAAAACCUAGUGCAGUGCUCAGGAAAGUAUACACAGUUCAUGUCACUCCUGUGUCCCUGUUCUCCCUCUUUCCUCCCGAUUACAAUGAGUCCACAGGACCUGGGAGGGAGAGGUGCCAUGCCAGAUACAACCGCUCACUUCAGAACAGCCUGCCGGGCCCAAGGAUAAGCCCAGAGCUUCAAGUCUUCCUUUGAAGGUCAGCACUGAAGCCAUCCAGAGACAAACUGGGCACCGUCCCUGAAUCUGGGGACAGGACUAAGUAGGUAAGACUGUGAGCAGGUCAGGAGACAAGGUGAACAGUAAGCCCAGAGCGAGCAGGAACACGCUCUGAAAAUUGAAAUCCCAAAAAGAUUAGAGAGGGCUGGUUUCCAGGGAGGACCUUGGAGAAGGCUCAAAUGGCAGAGGGAUGUAUGUUGAGGCUCUGGAGAAAGGGGGAAGGCACCCUGAGGCAGGAGAAGGCCAGAGCUGCAAAUGAGGGCAGUCAGCAAAAAUUAUGUCUUGCCCCUUAAAAGGGAAGAGAACUGAGGGUGGAAAUUUCCACUAAGAAAGAUUGUCAAGAUGCUGGGUAAAAGUGAAAGGGGAAAGAUAUACUCAGGGCAGGAAAAUCACACCAUCAGAAUCAAAGUGAUUAACUCCGGGCCUAGUGAUAAGAGAAGGAAGGGAAUCAAGUAAGUAGUGAAAUUUUAACCACCUUAGUCAAUCAUGUGACCCAACAGUACCUGGGAUUUUCCCUGCAGAAUUAAGGCAGAUGGACUCGGAAUACUGUUUGUAGCCACAGAUGGUUGGUUAGCUGUGCGCCAAUUACGCGCCCUUCCUUAGGGUGCAGGUGAUGCUGGGAAGUGCCCACCCCCAGGCAGGGACUAUAUUCCCCAGUUCCCCUUGCAGUAAGGGUGGGACCAUGUGACUAGUACUCACUAAUGGAAAUGAUGGAGGUGGCAUAUAUCACUUCCAAAUAGACGUGGCUAAGAAGCAGGUGUUCCUUCUCGACCCACCCUCUUUUUCCCCAUCUGUAAUGGCUUUGAAGGUAUGCGCUCAAGUGGACCAAGUGACAAACUGGAAGGACCCUGGAUCCCUGAAUCACCAUGGUGAAAGCCGCCCACCAAACAUCCACACUAGACGGCUGUGCAAAUGAGGAAACUGAGGCACAGAAAGACUCUAUGACCUGCCCAAUGCCACUUAGCUGGAGCUGCUUAACAGGCUCGACUAUAACCCAGCACGUGAAAUGUACAAUAACAUCCGGAUGUGGCACCAGGCCCCGCUUCUACCACACUCCAGCAAAAAUAAACCUCUCCAUCCAAAUAUA
This is a long non-coding RNA of Leopardus geoffroyi (Geoffroy's cat), 2323 nucleotides long. RefSeq lists it as uncharacterized. The record is from RefSeq and is a predicted model, not a curated record. NCBI's taxonomy places the organism in Eukaryota, Metazoa, Chordata, Mammalia, Carnivora, Felidae. The transcript is spliced from 3 exons.